RNAcentral lists this ribosomal RNA (255 nucleotides) under uncultured prokaryote. RNAcentral describes it as "partial 16S ribosomal RNA". It matches the Rfam family "Bacterial small subunit ribosomal RNA", at positions 525 to 777 of the family's 1533-position model. The record is from RNAcentral.
ACGGAGGGUGCGAGCGUUGUCCGGAAUCAUUGGGCGUAAAGGGCGCGUAGGCGGCCACUUCAAGCGUGCGGUGAAAGUCGGGGGCUCAACCCCUGAUCGGCCGUGCGAACUGGGGGGCUGGAGCACUGUAGAGGCAGGCGGAAUUCCGGGUGUAGCGGUGGAAUGCGUAGAGAUCCGGAAGAACACCGGUGGCGAAGGCGGCCUGCUGGGCAGUUGGCUGACGCUGAGGCGCGACAGCGUGGGGAGCAAACAGGA